Long non-coding RNA from Columba livia (rock pigeon), 268 nucleotides. RefSeq lists it as uncharacterized. The record is from RefSeq and is a predicted model, not a curated record. The transcript has 2 exons. NCBI's taxonomy places the organism in Eukaryota, Metazoa, Chordata, Aves, Columbiformes, Columbidae.
GGUGUUUCAGCAGGUACGGCACCACGGCGCUGCGAACGUCGUCCUCGGGGAUCCCGCUGGGCCGCCUGCGAACAACCGGGAUGUGAAGCAACCGGAGAACGAGUCUCACCCAGCAAUGAGUCUCAUGGCCGAACAAAAGGCAACGUGUACAACCAAAUCACGGGACUGACCGCCUGUGAGGGACGAUGUUACUCGCACCACGUACCACGCAGGCUCGUCCCGGUUCUCUGUCUCCUGCACAAUCUUAUCCAGUGAAUUCAGGAGCUGC